GUAGAUAUAGUUUAACAAAAACACUAGACUGUGAAUCUAGUAAUAGAAGAAUAAAAUCUUCCUAUUUACC
Molecule: transfer RNA, 70 nt
Filed under: Makalata macrura (Long-tailed armored tree-rat)
Lineage: Eukaryota; Metazoa; Chordata; Mammalia; Rodentia; Echimyidae
Description: tRNA-His
Rfam family: tRNA
About the family: Transfer RNA (tRNA) molecules are approximately 80 nucleotides in length. Their secondary structure includes four short double-helical elements and three loops (D, anti-codon, and T loops). Further hydrogen bonds mediate the characteristic L-shaped molecular structure. tRNAs have two regions of fundamental functional importance: the anti-codon, which is responsible for specific mRNA codon recognition, and the 3' end, to which the tRNAs corresponding amino acid is attached (by aminoacyl-tRNA synthetases). tRNAs cope with the degeneracy of the genetic code in two manners: having more than one tRNA (with a specific anti-codon) for a particular amino acid; and 'wobble' base-pairing, i.e. permitting non-standard base-pairing at the 3rd anti-codon position.
Source: RNAcentral